UUUGGUCUGGCUCAGAUUGAACGCGGCGGGAUGCUUUACACAUGCAAGUCGAACGGCAGCACGGACUUCGUGGUCUGGUGGCGAGUGGCGAACGGGUGAGUAAUGUCGGAACGUGCCUAGUAGCGGGGGAUAACUACGCGAAAGCGUAGCUAAUACCGCAUACGCCCUUCGAAGCGGGGGGACCUUCCCGGGCCUCGCACUAUUAAACGGCCGAUAUCGGAUUAGCUAGUUGGUGGGGUAACGGCUCGCAAGGCGACGAUCCGUAGCUGGUUUGAGAGGACGACCAGCCACACUGGGACUGAGACGGCCCAGACUCCUACGGGAGGCAGCAGUGGGGAAUUUUGGACAAUGGGGGAAACCCUGAUCCAGCCAUCCGUGUGCGAUGAGCCUUCGGGUUGUAAAGCACUUUGGCAGGAAAGAAACGGCACGGGAUAAUACCCCGUGCAACUGACGGUACCUGCAGAAUAAGCACCGGCUAACUACGUGCCAGCAGCCGCGGUAAUACGUAAGUGCAAGCGUUAAUCGGAAUUACUGGGCGUAAAGCGUGCGCAGGCGGUUCGGAAAGAAAGAUGUGAAAUCCCAGAGCUUAACUUUGGAACUGCAUUUUUAACUACCGAGCUAAAGUGUGUCAGAGGAGGUGGAAUUCACAUGUGCAGCAGUGAAAUGGCCAGAUGUGCGGAGGGAACACCGAUGGUGAAGGCAGCCUCCUGGAAUAACACUGACGCUCAUGCACGAAAAGCGUGGAGACAAACAGGAUUACCUGAUACCCUGGUAAGUCCACGCCCUAAACGAUGUCAACUAGCUGUUGGGGCUGUUCGGGGUAUGGUGUGGCGCAGCUAACGCGUGAAGUUGACCGCCUGGGGAAGUACGGUCGCAAGAUUAAAACUCAAGGAAUUGACGGGGACCCGCACAAGCGGUGGAUGAUGUGGAUUAAUUCGAUGCAACGCGAAAACCUUACCUACCCUUGACAUGUCUGGAAUCGAAGAGAUUUGGGAGUGCUCGCAAAGAGAACCGGAACACAGGUGCUGCAUGGCUGUCGUCAGCUCGUGUCGUGAGAUGUUGGGGGUUAAGUCCACCAACGAGCGCAGCGUGUCAUUAGUUGCUACGAAGGGCACUCUAAUGAGACUGCCGGUAACAAAACCGGAGGAAGGUGGGGAUGACGUCAAAGUCCUCAUGGCCCUUAUGGGUAGGGCUUCACACGUCAUACAAUGGUCAGGACAGAGGGUCGCCAACCCGCGAGGGAGCCAAUCAGAAGCGAUCGUAGUCCGGAUCGCAGUCUGCAACUCGACUGCGUGAAGUCGGAAUCGCUGACGUGGAUCAGCAUGUCGCGGUGAAUACGUUCGGGUCUUGUACACACCGCCCGUCACACCAUGGGAGUGGGUUUUACCGCAGUAGUUAGCCUAACCGUAAGGAGGGCGAUUACCACGACGGGAUUCAUGACUGGGGUGAAGUCUCGUAACAAGGUAA
RNAcentral lists this ribosomal RNA (1467 nucleotides) under uncultured Bordetella sp. RNAcentral's name for it is "partial 16S-23S ribosomal RNA intergenic spacer". It matches the Rfam family "Bacterial small subunit ribosomal RNA". Lineage: Bacteria; Pseudomonadati; Pseudomonadota; Betaproteobacteria; Burkholderiales; Alcaligenaceae. The record is from RNAcentral.